RNAcentral lists this ribosomal RNA (429 nucleotides) under Bacteroidota bacterium. Its description in RNAcentral is "Bacteroidetes bacterium partial 16S ribosomal RNA". It matches the Rfam family "Bacterial small subunit ribosomal RNA", at positions 355 to 776 of the family's 1533-position model. Lineage: Bacteria; Pseudomonadati; Bacteroidota. The record is from RNAcentral.
UAGGGAAUCUUCCGCAAUGGGCGAAAGCCUGACGGAGCAACGCCGCGUGAGUGAUGAAGGUCUUCGGAUCGUAAAACUCUGUUAUUAGGGAAGAACAAAUGUGUAAGUAACUAUGCACAUCUUGACGGUACCUAAUCAGAAAGCCACGGCUAACUACGUGCCAGCAGCCGCGGUAAUACGUAGGUGGCAAGCGUUAUCCGGAAUUAUUGGGCGUAAAGCGCGCGUAGGCGGUUUUUUAAGUCUGAUGUGAAAGCCCACGGCUCAACCGUGGAGGUUCAUUGGAAACUGGAAAACUUGAGUGCAGAAGAGGAAAGUGGAAUUCCAUGUGUAGCGGUGAAAUGCGCAGAGAUAUGGAGGAACACCAGUGGCGAAGGCGACUUUCUGGUCUGUAACUGACGCUGAUGUGAGAAAGCGUGGGGAUCAAACAGG